Molecule: ribosomal RNA, 954 nt
Filed under: uncultured Ascomycota
Lineage: Eukaryota; Fungi; Ascomycota
Description: eukaryotic LSU rRNA
Rfam family: Eukaryotic large subunit ribosomal RNA
Source: RNAcentral
CGUUUGACCUCGGAUCAGGUAGGGAUACCCGCUGAACUUAAGCAUAUCAAUAAGCGGAGGAAAAGAAACCAACAGGGAUUGCCCUAGUAACGGCGAGUGAAGCGGCAACAGCUCAAAUUUGAAAUCUGGCUCUUUUAGGGUCCGAGUUGUAAUUUGCAGAGGGCGCUUUGGCUUUGGCAGCGGUCCAAGUUCCUUGGAACAGGACGUCACAGAGGGUGAGAAUCCCGUACGUGGUCGCUAGCUAUUGCCGUGUAAAGCCCCUUCGACGAGUCGAGUUGUUUGGGAAUGCAGCUCUAAAUGGGAGGUAAAUUUCUUCUAAAGCUAAAUAUUGGCCAGAGACCGAUAGCGCACAAGUAGAGUGAUCGAAAGAUGAAAAGCACUUUGGAAAGAGAGUCAAACAGCACGUGAAAUUGUUGAAAGGGAAGCGCUUGCAGCCAGACUUGCUUGCAGUUGCUCAUCCGGGCUUUUGCCCGGUGCACUCUUCUGUAGGCAGGCCAGCAUCAGUUUGGGCGGUGGGAUAAAGGUCUCUGACACGUUCCUUCCUUCGGGUUGGCCAUAUAGGGGAGACGUCAUACCACCAGCCUGGACUGAGGUCCGCGCAUCUGCUAGGAUGCUGGCGUAAUGGCUGUAAGCGGCCCGUCUUGAAACACGGACCAAGGAGUCUAACAUCUAUGCGAGUGUUUGGGUGUCAAGCCCGAGCGCGUAAUGAAAGUGAACGGAGGUGGGAACCCGCAAGGGCGCACCAUCGACCGAUCCUGAAGUUUACGGAAGGAUUUGAGUAAGAGCAUGGCUGUUGGGACCCGAAAGAUGGUGAACUAUGCUUGAAUAGGGUGAAGCCAGAGGAAACUCUGGUGGAGGCUCGCAGCGGUUCUGACGUGCAAAUCGAUCGUCAAAUUUGGGCAUAGGGGCGAAAGACUAAUCGAACUAUCUAGUAGCUGGUUCCUGCCGAAGUUU